This 253-nucleotide ribosomal RNA is filed under the name uncultured bacterium. Its description in RNAcentral is "partial 16S ribosomal RNA". It matches the Rfam family "Bacterial small subunit ribosomal RNA", at positions 524 to 776 of the family's 1533-position model. The record is from RNAcentral.
UACGUAGGGGGCAAGCGUUGUCCGGAAUCAUUGGGCGUAAAGAGCGUGUAGGCGGCCCGGUAAGUCCGCUGUGAAAGUCGAGGGCUCAACCCUCGAAUGCCGGCGGAUACUGUCGGGCUAGAGUCCGGAAGAGGCGAGUGGAAUUCCUGGUGUAGCGGUGAAAUGCGCAGAUAUCAGGAAGAACACCAAUGGCGAAGGCAGCUCUCUGGGACGGUACUGACGCUGAGACGCGAAAGCGUGGGGAGCGAACAGG